This is a long non-coding RNA of Ictalurus punctatus (channel catfish), 3557 nucleotides long. The record is from Ensembl. Lineage: Eukaryota; Metazoa; Chordata; Actinopteri; Siluriformes; Ictaluridae.
UUCCUUUACACAAUCUCCGGUUCUGUUCGAAACGCUGUCUCAGUGCUCGAGUCUCGAACAAACUACAGUCCAUACCCACACUUAAAUUUACUGAAAGAGCUCUUUAAAAUACACACCUUCAUUCCCAAACGUCCGAGUGCACUCCUGGAGCGGGAGCGGUUUUAUUUUUAUCAGUAAUCAAACACUAAUCCGACGCUUUCUUCACCGAUAUUGUUCAUCCUGUCAGGGCUCUAUCGCCAUGAUAGCUAGACGUAGCUAACCCGUCUUUUAGCUUUCGCUAAUUCAUUCAUUUAAAGCCUGAUAUUAUAGUGUAGUCUGUAUCGUGUCUUUUCUGAAGAGUGUGAUUUGAAGCGAAGCUGCUGAUCGGUCAGAUGGUGUGACGCCCGUUAUGACAUCAUCAGCAGGCAGCUCUAAUUGAAAUCCUUCAACGUCCCAUCAGUGUGGUUUUAUGGGAACGUUUCACACUUUAGUCUCAAACAUUGAACAGUAAAAAGUUGAUAAAAACCACAAACUGCAAUGAAAUUCUCAAAAAAUGUGCCAAAUACGGUUCGAAAUAAUUCACUAAUGGUGAUAUUGAAGAUGCCAUCAAUUCUGAAACAACUAUACUUUUAUAACUGUAUAUUUUCAAAAAUAUAAACACAACAACACUGUGCUCUCAGCCAAUCAGAACACACCGUACUGCUCUCAGCCAAUCAGAACACACCGUACUGCUCUCAGCCAGUCAGAACACACCGUACUGCUCUCAGCCAAUCAGAACACACCGUACUGCUCUCAGCCAGUCAGAACACACUGUACUGCUCUCAGCCAAUCAGAACACACCGUACUGCUCUCAGCCAGUCCGAACACACCGUACUGCUCUCAGCCAAUCAGAACACACCGUACUGCUCUCAGCCAAUAAGGACACACUGUACGGCUCUCAUCCUAUCAGAACACACCAUGCUGAGUGAAGGAUGGUGACAGUAUUUAGAGAAUGGUAAAUGAUAAAACAGAACCAGGCGUUCGUGCACUCAGAGGUUUGGGGUUUCUUCCUGUAAGCGUUGGCGUUAAAACUCUUUAUGAAACAACCGUAAAAAAUCCUCAGACACCAUUUUAUAUCCGAUUGUUAAGGAAAAUGGCGGUCGGCAGAAUUUGGCUUUGUAAACAGGAGGAAUUGCUGCGUCACACUCUGCGUCCCAAACCGCUUUCAGCGCACCCUCGUUCACUCUAAAGUGUGCAUCGUCUAUUCCACAGGAGUGUGCACUUCCAGCACGCUGUGGUGUUUUGCUCGCUUACUCGCCCACAUGCUAACUCCCGAGCAAUAACUCUUCGCGCAGUUCCUACAUAUAUACACAGAGAAAUCCACAGUCCACAGAAAUGUCAACAUCUGCAUUUCCCAGGCGUUCCACAACAUUAAACUAUCAAUGUAACUAUAAACGGAUAAAACCUAUGUCACUCUUAGUAAAGUUAAAAAAGUCAUCAUUGGCAAAUUGCUGCGAUGUGACGGAAAGCUAACUUAAGCUCCGCCCCUUUCAGUGACUAAAACCAGGACCGGCACCGACUCCAUCCCUCAUCUCAUCAGUGUCACUCGAUCUCGUACGGACCAAGGGGAAGUCAGCAAGGGCGCAUUAAAAACAGUAAUGGAACACAGCCUCAUUGUGGUUUCUCACACAUGCAAAUUACUCAGCGACGCAAGUUUAAUUUCCACAUGCUACAUGGACAAGAAACUACACACACACACACACACACACACACACACACAAACUGCCCAAGACCUGAAAUAAAGCUCUGUACAUUACAGAUGCAUUGCGUGGAACAACUCAGCGCAGCGUGUCCAGACCCAGGCCUCUGUGGAACUGAACAGAGAAUAUUAAUCCUUAAUUGAACCAUCUGUACUCACUAAUAUCUUUAGUUUAUUCGGACAUGUAUGUUUGUUCUAAACUGAAAAACGUAAGGCCUCUUACGGUGGAAUGAGUUACGAGUUUAGCUUUGGGCCCCGUGACUUUAAACCUGGAUCAUAUCCUCGCUGAUCCACUGCGCCCGGAGUAAACCUACCAACAUGAUCUCUGUGCUUUCCUUAAAAACAUACUGUAUGACUGGUGAAUGGUGAAGUUCUGAAUGAGGGGCGGAGUCAUGCUUCGUACAGACUCCACCGGCUUGAAUCUGCACGAGUGCGGCGUGAGAUCAGAGGCGUGUUUAGCGCAGUGCUAGCACACGGAGCUGGUGAGGAAAUGGUGGAACAUGGCAGGCACGAAUGAGCACACAUUUCAGGAAUGAUUAAAGACGCACGUGUCAUUCAUUCCGUUUUCAUCGUACCAAAAGAAAUAAACACACACCAACACACACCAACACACACGUCGGUAAGCAUGAGCAGUCGUGACCAGAGACGCAUGAAGGCACUAAUCGCAAGCAAACUCGUGGCUGUCUCGAGCCACGGCAACAUCUUGGGCUAGAUGUUGUGGAUGAAAGAUUCUAAUACGAGGUUUUAAAUAAAUAAAAACAGUCAGUAGCACAGAACGACUUCGUCUCAGAGCGUACGAGUGAGAUUUGAGUUUUUGGUUUCGGCACCUUCAAGUGAAAACGAACGUAAGAAGAGAACGCAGAAAUCCAUCGUAGUCUGAUCACCUGUUUAGAUCAGAUGUUUCAUCUCCGCGUGGAGUUUUAAACAAUAAACCUGAAGCUCUGUGAACGCUUCUGCUACAGGAAGUGAUGAUGCGCCGGGCCUACCCAUGUUACCUCCGAACUGCGGCACGCUGGUCAGUGGACGCUGUUUUUUGGUACAAAAUGAAAAGGAGAAAACAAGCAAACAACUUUUUAUUUGAGUUUUUUUUUCUUUCUUGGCGUUCACCAAAAUAGGAAACUCACUCCGUACAGGAUUUCGCAGAUUUUAUUUUGUGAUUGCUGCAAUUGUAAAAACGCUGGACUGUACUGAAGCUUUCUUUUUUUUUAAUUUUCGAUGCAAUUUGCAGAGUUUUUGUGUGUGUGUGCGUGUGUGUGUGUGUGUGUGUGUGUGUGUGUGUGUAAAGCUACAUAUCGCGAUUUCACGGAAUAGUUCUGCGCGCUCUUGCACAGUGAUGUUUGUCGGUAAACGAGACCUUUUGGCUGCACUCGUGAAUCGAAAGCGGCUUUGGCUGAACACACGUCGUGACGACGUCACAUGACGCGGUCAUUUUGAAAAUUCCGAAUAUUGCCGCGUUUGCUCGAUUUCUGCGAUCGCAAAAAUCCUGGAGCGACUGAAAAUGUAUUCUCUUUUUUUUUCCAUAAAAUGACUGAUUCAUUUUGAUUAGUUUGAGUUAUUAAUAAUAAUUGAAAUCAAAUGUUCAUUAUAUUUAGCUAACGCUAACCAGCCCAGUUAUACACAGACGUUAACCGAAGCGCUAACUAACAUCAGCUCAAAAUCACAAAGCUUUUAACAACUAGUAUAGUAAUGAUCAUACAAGAUAGUAAUGAUCUUACAUCACCUCCAUGUGUACAUUUUUUUCACAUUUGAAUACUUGUGAAUAUUUGAUUUCUAGACUUUGCGUCGAGUGGAAACAAUGAAAAGCGGGUUAAUGUUUUCGUUUCUAAAAAUAAUUUUAUGA